Molecule: ribosomal RNA, 1680 nt
Filed under: Potamalosa richmondia (Australian freshwater herring)
Lineage: Eukaryota; Metazoa; Chordata; Actinopteri; Clupeiformes; Clupeidae
Description: 16S rRNA
Rfam family: Bacterial large subunit ribosomal RNA (bases 96-1602)
Source: RNAcentral
ACCAAACAGCUAGCUCAACCUAAAGAGUCAAAUUAACAACAUAAACAACUCUACAUAAAAUUUAAACCCCAAAACUAAACCAUUCGACCACCCCAGUAUGGGCGACAAAAAAGGACCUAUGAAGCUAUAGACAAAGUACCGCAAGGGAAAGCUGAAAGAGAACUGAAAUAACGCACUUAAGUACAUAAAAGCAGAGAUUUUAUCUCGUACCUUUUGCAUCAUGAUCUAGCCAGUACACCCAAGCAAAGAGACCUCUAGUUUGAAACCCCGAAACCGGACGAGCUACUCCGGGACAGCCUAUUUAGGGCCAACCCGUCUCUGUGGCAAAAGAGUGGGAAGAUCCCCGAGUAGAGGUGAAAGACCUACCGAGUCAGGUUAUAGCUGGUUACCCAAGAAAUGAAUAGAAGUUCAGCCCCGACAUGCCCCUAUCCACAAUAGUUUUACUCAAACUAGGUACUUAGAGACACUUUCGGGAGUUAGUUGGGGGAGGUACAGCUCCCCCAACAAAGGACACAACCUUAAACAGGAGGCUAAAGAAUAUAUUAAAACAAGGCUACAGGUUUCAGUGGGCCUAAAAGCAGCCAUCUGAACAGAAAGCGUUAAAGCUCAGACCAAAUUAAGCCUGAUAUAACAUUACAUACAUCCGACGCCCCUAAUAUUACUGGGCCGCCCUAUGCACCCAUAGGAGAGACCAUGCUAGAACGAGUAACAAGAAGAAUGAACUUCUCCCUGCACAUGUGUAAGUCGGAUCGGACUAACCACCGACAAUUAACGAACCCAAUAACAGAGGGUCCUACGCCCCUGCCACCCCGGGCCAAGAAAACCACGUAUCUUCGUAUCGUUACCCCCACACAGGAGUGCUAAACUAGGGAAAGACUAAAAGGAUAAAAAGGAACUCGGCAAGCCAAAACCCCGCCUGUUUACCAAAAACAUCGCCUCCUGCCCCUAAUAAUAUAGGAGGUCCCGCCUGCCCCGUGACCAAAAGUUUAACGGCCGCGGUAUUUUAACCGUGCAAAGGUAGCGCAAUCAAUUGUCUUUUAAAUGAAGACCUGUAUGAAUGGCAUAACGAGGGUUUAACUGUCUCUUUUUCCCAGUCAAUGAAACUGAUCUGCCCGUGCAGAAGCGAGCAUAACUAUACAAGACGAGAAGACCCUAUGGAGCUUUAGACGCCCACCAACCAUGAAAAGCAACCCCUCAACUGGGCCUCAAACAACAUGACACUGGCACAAACGUCUUCGGUUGGGGCGACCACGGGAGAAAGUAAAGCUCCCGAGCGGAUUAGGGCCACCCUAAAACCCAGAGUCACACCUCUAAGUCACAGAACAUUUGACCAAGAAUGAUCCGGCCAUAGGCCGAUCAACGAACCAAGUUACCCUAGGGAUAACAGCGCAAUCCCCUCCCAGAGUCCAUAUCGACGAGGGGGUUUACGACCUCGAUGUUGGAUCAGGACAUCCUAAUGGUGCAGCCGCUAUUAAGGGUUCGUUUGUUCAACGAUUAAAGUCCUACGUGAUCUGAGUUCAGACCGGAGUAAUCCAGGUCAGUUUCUAUCUGUAAUGCCACCCUUCCUAGUACGAAAGGACCGGAGCGAUGAGGCCCAUGCUCAAAGUACGCCUCCCCCCAACCUGUUGAAAACAACUGAACCAGGCAAAGGGGGGCAAUCCCCGGCCCAAGAGAAGGGCG